CUCAUUCUCUCUCUCUAUCCAAUAAAUGAAUAAAUUAAAAAAAGAACUGUAAUUUUAGAAGUUCCAGGAAAAAUAACUGUUAAACAUGAAAUAAGAUUAUCUAUGCUUUACUUAAGAUGAGUUCUUUUCUACAACUUAAACCUAGAAAGGUACUUAGGAGUGGCAGGGAUGUAGGCACUGGCAUAAAGCAUAAGGAUGAAUACACACUCCUGGACAAAACCUGCCUGAAAUCUAUUAGUACUUUGUCUCUAUUGGCUCUUUAAUAAAGUAAUUGAUCAAAAUCUCCUCCCUGCAAAAGAAACUCAAACUUCAUAUACUUUGUAAAGAAUUCAAUUAAAAUCUAAAUUAUCUGGAUGAACUAUUUCCCUUCUAUACAUCAGCUUGUGGAUGGCCACCUGUUUAUACUGUACUUAGAAAGCUGCCAAACAAAUAUAUCCUUUCCAGUUGGUGAUAGGAAACAAUUUCCAGGCCAUCACCUUCCACAUUAUGAUUCAUCUUGGCAUUAAUUUUAUUGAAAUAAUAAUGUACUUGGCUCUAGAAUAUCAUUUGCCAUCCAAGGAUCUCCAAGUUCUGGGGAAGAACGUUUUCCAGAUUGAGAGUAUGAAAUCUCUCCUGUCUCUCAUAGAUGAUCACAUAUUGUUUCGAUAAGCAGACCUGAAUGAAUUGAUCUCUGGGAUGGCUGUGCACUAGAAUCACUGUAACUGGUAAUGUUGACUACAAAUCAUAGAACGACAUUCUGUACACUGUGAAUUAAAGAGUUCUAGGCUG
Canis lupus familiaris (dog) is the source of this 768-nucleotide long non-coding RNA. RefSeq lists it as uncharacterized. The record is from RefSeq and is a predicted model, not a curated record. The transcript has 3 exons. NCBI's taxonomy places the organism in Eukaryota, Metazoa, Chordata, Mammalia, Carnivora, Canidae.